AAGACUAUACUUUCAGGAAUCAUUUCUGUAGUUUUUGAUUUGGAAAGCUUUUCUGAAAGUGUCACGUCUCUCUACCCACAAUGAUGAGUUGUGAUAUUUUUUUCUUAGCGUGAAUCUGGGGGAGAAUAACGAUUACCGUUGUUCUCUCUUAUUGAUGAACGUUCCUGCUGUGUUUCACAGUUGGGAAGAAAAAGGAGCGCUCAGAGUGGU
Molecule: small nucleolar RNA, 210 nt
Organism: Astyanax mexicanus (Mexican tetra)
Lineage: Eukaryota; Metazoa; Chordata; Actinopteri; Characiformes; Acestrorhamphidae
Gene: U3
Rfam family: Small nucleolar RNA U3
About the family: Small nucleolar RNAs (snoRNAs) are involved in the processing and modification of rRNA in the nucleolus. There are two main classes of snoRNAs: the box C/D class, and the box H/ACA class. U3 snoRNA is a member of the box C/D class.
Source: Ensembl